Cavia porcellus (domestic guinea pig) is the source of this 4243-nucleotide long non-coding RNA. RefSeq lists it as uncharacterized. Lineage: Eukaryota; Metazoa; Chordata; Mammalia; Rodentia; Caviidae. The record is from RefSeq and is a predicted model, not a curated record. The transcript is spliced from 2 exons.
GCAAGUUUAGAUCCCUGACACAGACUCCCAUAAAUAGCAAGUAGAUAAGGAACAGAAGCAUUCUUUUCUCAAUAUCCCUGCACUUUUAGGACAGAAGCCACACAGAAGACUGCAGCUGAUGGUUUUAGGUGGGAACAGGAGAAGGACUCUUGAUUGUUUUUUGAGGAAUAGCCUUCCUCCCUCCCCUCUGGCCUUUCAGGGUGACCAGAAGCCACGGAAUGAGGGGAGGCAAACAGGCCCUGUGUGUGUACUCUUGCAUCUGGAGUGAGGUCCUGGCGCUGUGCUGAUCACAUCUAUUCAGUGUGAGAGGAAAAAGCAGGUAAGAAGCAUCCAGUUGAUUGGCUUAACAUAGUUCUGGGUGUGGACAAUAGACUUCCUGAAGAGGGAAGACCCUGGGUGACACCAACCAAGUGGCUUGUAGCCUUAAUGGAAUGAGGAGAAAGAAGGAGGAAGGCUUGCAUCUGUUUCUUCAGAGGAGCUUCAGUCUUUCUUUUUGCCCUGCAUAUCCAUCUCCUGUUUUCUAGGCCAGACCUUUCUGCCUUCCACUGAAGACACUUCGACUUCCUGAUAUGGACUUACACAGUGAGCUCCAGGUCUUUCACUUUUGAUGGGAUUCUUGCAAUCUCCAGCUCAUUGAGUCUUUUGGACUCUUCUAUAUGUAAUUCUGCAGGUAGCCAUUGUAAGCCUACCUCAUAAAUCAUGAUCUAUAUAUCUGUAACUACAUUUAUAUCUAUGAUCUCUCCUAGAUACAGGGAAGAGCUAUAAACAAAUUCUUCUCUUGUUAGAUGUAUAGUCUAUUACAGAGUGUAAGCUCUAUUCUCCAGAUAAAUGUUUAUUAUGCCAAAGUAUGGAUUUAUGUAUUGAUCUUGUGUAUAUGUACUAAUGAAUAAUAUAUGUAUUAUAAAUUAAAACCUAUGUAUUUUAUUAGUACAUGAAUGUAGUAUAAGCUACAUUGGAUGAUAUCACUGAAAUUUUACACUAUAUAUGACGUCUUUUCCAAACUUUUCUUCUUUAUAACUAUGGUUUGUAGUUUCCCCUUUUCAUUCUACUAAAUUCACUUAUGUUAUAGUAUUUCAUAUGUUUAGGCAACAGGUAAUUUAAACCUCACCAUUUGAUAAUAGGUUAUUUUCACCAGUUUGGUAUCACAAAUAGUGCAUGGACAUUUUUUAAUAUGUAUCUUUGUUUAUAGGAUUCAAUUCUUUCUUGGAUGGCUACAUAGGGAUGAUAUGCCUGGGUCAAUAGCUUCAGUUACUAGGAAUCACUCUAAAAAGUGACUGGAAUAAUUUACACUUUUAUUAUCAGUGUGUGACUCUUAUUUCCCUACAUAACUGCCUCAAAAUGCCCAUAGCAUGUUUUUUCUUGAAUGUAAUGGAUGACUUCAAAGUAUUUACUUUGUUUACCAGUGACUUGAUUUUCUCUCCUGAGAAUUUCCUGUGUACAUCCUGUAAGCCUACCUAAUAACUUCCCUUGCAUAAUGGUAUAUUUUCUAUCAAUACUGCUCCUCUAGAGGGCUCUUGAAUUUCAUGAAGGUGUAACAUUGAAUAUUACAGAACUUCCUUUGCCCUGAAUUUACCUUAAGUCCUCUUUGCUCCUCAGAAGUUAAAGAAAACUUGAACUCUUUAAUGACUUAACUUGGAUUGAUUUUUGGCCCUUUGAUUUCUUCUCUUUCAAUCACACAAGCCUUUAGGUUCUUACAUCACACUGGGGAAAAAUUCCACUCCCAAACUCUGUGCCCUGUCCUGUGAUACUUUACUGCUGCUUGAGAUGUUAAAUAGAGAGAUCAUCCUAGAUAUGUCACAGCACCUUGUUUCCAUGAAAUGCGGCCAUUCAUUCUCUUGCUUUUGGAUGCCUUCGUAGUCCAUCCAUCCUACAGCUCUGAUCUACACUUGUGCUGUGCAGCUCCAGGAUGUGGAGAUCAGAGCGAUGUUAUACCUGGUUUAUUCUCAGAUGCCUACUUUUGAGAAAUCUAAUUACAUAUUUAAAAUAUCAGUCAAUCUAUACUUUUUAAAAUUGUUUUUAAUUUGUUUCUCAGAAAUAACAUUUCAAUUCCAAACAGAUGAUUUACAAGUUUUUUCAAUACAACUGUUUGAAUGUUAUUGCCAGUAUAUAAUUGCCAUGUUAAUUUUAUAAUCCUGUGUCACAAACUACUACAAACUUAGGGGAUUAAAUGUGACAUUUCAUAUGUCACAAUUUCUAUAGAUCAGAAGUCUGGGCAUAGCUGGAUUCUCUCUUCAGGAUCUUGGGAACUGAUUUCAAGGCAUCAUAGGAACUUGAGAUGCUCUAUCCAGAUCUUUCAGAUUGUCCACAGAGUUUAGUUAUUCACAGCUCCAGAAGUGAAGUCUGUUUCCUUGUUUACUAUUAUCAUGGCAUUGCUUCAGCUGUGGAUGUUCUCUUGGGUUCUUGCUACAUGGUCCUUCAAGAUGCAAUUUUUAAAAUUUUAGUUUUAAUUUUUUAUUUUGGAGAGAAUAAAACCAAAUGAAAUAAAGCAGAAUAGAGUCAAUCAAAAUGAAAUAAUGAACAUGGUACAUGGCUUCAAAACAAGAUAAAAAGGAAAUCAAUAAUGGCUACCAUAGUUCCUCUCGUUAUCUUCAAAAUAACUGCCCAUACCACCAGGGAUAAUAAAAUCAAACAAACUAGUGCAGAAUAAAACCAAUAAAAACAAACAAUGGAAGCAGUACAGGACUUCAAAAUGAUAUACUAGUAAAACAAUGGUGGCUAUCAUAAUGCCUCUUAUCUUCAAAGUAGUUGCCUAUAUCAUCAGAUAUAAUACAAUCAAACAAAACAGAAUAAAAUCAAUCAAAACAAAACAAUGAAAGCCAAACAUAGUCUCAAAACAGGAUAAUACGAAAUUAGUAAUGGCUACUGUAAUAUGUUUUGUUAUUUUAGAAAUAGCUAUCUAAGUCAUCAAAUAUAAUAAAAUUAGACAAACUGAAACUGAAUAAAACCAAAGUAAACAGUACAAUGCAAACCAUAUGGGCUUCAAAUCACAAUAAUACAUUAAUAAUGGCCAUUGCCUUUCCUUUUUAGCCACUUCCUCCUUUUUCACUUUCACAAUAUGUACUGUGCCUUUUGGAUCUCACUACCUCCCCAGUUUUCUACACUAUGGAGACAGCACAAUAUUUAGCCAUGUGACUCUGAACCAUUUCCCCAUGUGUAUAAUCUGAAGUUGUAUCCAUUUAACUACAAGAGCCUCAAGGUUGUCUUUCUUUAUAGCUGAGUAUAUUUCCACUGUAUAAAAAUGCCAUGUACUAAGCACCUCUCAAGAAGAUACAGAUGGAAGAAUGGAGGAACACAAAAAGAGGAGAGAAAUGUUUGAUGAAGAAUAUAAAGAAAACCUAGAAUACAUGAAGCAGAUUCAAAGAGAUUACCAGGAAAUUGAAAACUCCACUGAAACAUGGCAAAACUGCUUGAAAGAAACUAAGGAUAGACUAUUAAAACUUGAAGACAAGUUUGCAAUGUGUGAUCAUGAAAGGAAAGAUCUCUUAAAAAUAACAAGGAAACAGGCAGUACAAAUACAAAGUCUAGAAAGAUGACAAGAGGAUCUAUAACUUGAGAAUAAACAAUGUGAAUGAAGAAGCAGGGGUUAAAACAAAGGAAAUACAAAGGCUAUUUACAGAAAUAAUUAAGGAAAACUUCCCAAGCAUAGGAAAAGGAAAUGAUAUUCCGAUGUAUGAGGCAUACAGAACUCCAGCUACCUACAACCAAAACAGAGCUACACCCAAACAUAAUAAUCAAGCUACCUACAUCCAAUAAUCAAGGUCCCAGAAAUUCAACAUAAGAACAGAAUAUUAAAGCCAUCAGAGAAAAGAAACAGAUCACCUAUAAAGGAAAACCCAUUAAAAUCAUGGCAUACUUUUUGACACAGACCAUCAAAUCCAGAAGAGCUUGGAGCGAAGUAUUCUAAGCCCGGAAAGAAAAUAACCUCUGACCCAGAUUGCAAAACUGUCUCUAGAAAUUAAUGGAGAUACAAGAUGCUUCUAUGACAAAGAGGAAAUAGCAGAAUUUGUGAUCACCAAUCCAACCCUACAGAGAAUACUGAAGGACAUUCUAGAGAGAGAAAAAACCACCAAGAUUUCAGAAAUAGUGACAUAGAGGGCUCAAUGAAUGGAGCAGAUAGUGGAAUGAAGGAAAAAAGCAGAAAACCAGUGGCAGAAAAAUAGUAUAGCAGAAAUGAGGCAGAAAAGGUUGGCUAUAAUCUCUAAAUGGCCUUGAUACACUAAAAAAAAAAAAAAAAAGAAAGAAA